RNAcentral lists this ribosomal RNA (555 nucleotides) under Triticum aestivum (bread wheat). RNAcentral's name for it is "partial small subunit ribosomal RNA". Lineage: Eukaryota; Viridiplantae; Streptophyta; Magnoliopsida; Poales; Poaceae. The record is from RNAcentral.
AUGGAGAUCUACUCCAAGGAGGAGGAAUUUUGGCGCCAGCGAGGCUCUAUGAAUUGGGUGCUGUUUGGUGACGCCAACACAGCUUACUUCCAAGUCAUUGCUAAUGGUCGUAGGAGACGCUGCUCCAUUCCCCUUUUAUGGGAAAGGAGUCAGCUGUUUCAAGACCCUACGCCUAUCCGCUCGCUGGUUGACGACUUCUACAAGUCGUUAUUUGCGGGGCGUCCUCGGGGUGGUAUCGCCCUUGCCGACCAUAUUUGGUCGCCUGACCAACAAGUCUCCCUGGAGGAGAACGCGACCCUACUCGCCCCAUUUGACGCCGCGGAAGUGGAGGCUUUCGUAAAAGCCAUGAACCCGGCCUCGGCCCCGGGCCCGGAUGGACUACCGGUUCAUUUUUUCCAGGCAUUCUGGCCAAUGGUCAAGGAGAUCAUCCUUGACCUAUUCCGGGAAUUCUCUAAGGGAACAUUAGAUAUGUCCUGGCUUAACUACUGGGUCAUCUCCUUGAUUCUCAAGGUGCCGGGCGCCGCUGACAUUAGGCAGUUCCGACCUAUCACAGUC